UACUUAAAUGUUUAUGGUUAUUUAUGAAUUUCAUUUAUUCACAUUAUAUUAUUAUAGUAUUUAAUACUGAACUUGCACAAAAUCUUGGAGUGGCCGUGUAUCUCUGAAUCGUUACCAUUAACAACAGUCAAUGUCGUUUGAUCUACAGCCCGUUGCUGCCACCAUUAAGGCCUCAACUAAUCGAUACUUCAAGCUGAACUCUUGACAAAAUUGGCGCCAUUGUUCCCAAAGUUUAUAAAUGCCAGGUGCUUCUACGCAUAAAAACCCAAGCAAGUAUGUUGUUGUGAAUAGCGCAUAUACAAACACUGGGCGAGGCGGCCACAAUCUUUCGUCCUCAAAUUAGGGACUACAGUAUUUUAUAUUGAACUUGCACAAAACCCAGGAGUGGCCGUGUAUCUCUGAAUCGUUACCAUU
Molecule: long non-coding RNA, 414 nt
Filed under: Acyrthosiphon pisum (pea aphid)
Lineage: Eukaryota; Metazoa; Arthropoda; Insecta; Hemiptera; Aphididae
Description: uncharacterized LOC107882936
Source: RNAcentral